Molecule: long non-coding RNA, 1541 nt
Filed under: Gossypium barbadense (sea-island cotton)
Lineage: Eukaryota; Viridiplantae; Streptophyta; Magnoliopsida; Malvales; Malvaceae
Description: long non-coding RNA (GBAR_LNC009922)
Source: RNAcentral
UCCAAGCUCCAUAGUAAGUAAUUCCAAGCCCCGUUUUUAAUGAUUUUUACGUUUUUGAGAUCCCGGUAGCUCGAUUAAGCUUAUGCUAACAAUAAUUCAACUUAGGGUUCAUAUUUGGAAAAAUACCCAUAGGUGAAAUUUGUGUAUUUUGAUGUUUUAUGAUAGAAUAUGGGGUUUUAAAUUAUGUUAGACAACUUGUGCUACUCGGUUUUGAGUGAAAACGAGUAAAAGGGCUUAAUCGGUAAAAAUACCUAAUAGUCAUAAGUACAUGUUAGAGUGAGAAUUUGAUGUUGCCAUAGAAGAGAAAAGUGAUCAGCAUGUUGUAAAACAUAAGAAUAAGGAAUAAAGUUUAAUCCCGAGCCUAGGGGCAAAAAUGUAAAUAUGCAAAAGUUUAGGGGUAAAAUUGUAAUUUUGCCAAAAUUUGAGUUAAGGAUUAAUUUGAUAAUGUGAGUAUUAAAUAAGCUAAAUGUGUUAUUUUAGAUCAAGAAAGACGUGGAAUCGACCUCAAUCGAGGAAAAGAAAAGAUUGUGGACUAAAUUGCAAAAUCUUUGUAUUUUGGUACCAAGGUAAGUUCAUGUGUAAAUAAUGUAGCAUAAUGGUUAUUUUUAAGUUAUUGAUGUUAAUUAUAUGUUAUGCUGAAUUUUAUUAUGAAAUGUAUGCUUUGUGGUUAAUUUCAAAUAAUAUGUAAAUUAUGUGAACUACUUGUUAAAUAUAAUUGUUACCGAGUAUUGAUUUCGGCAUUCUACGGAAGACGGCAAGGAUAAGUGUUCGAGGAAAAAGCCCGUUUGAACCUUAGGAAUAGAUUAGGAUACAAGUGACAUGUCACUAGGAUGGUUGAGCAUCCGAACUCGUUGAGUUGAGUCCGAGUUCACUUAUGGAUGCGAAUGUCCGAACUCGUUGAGUUGAGUCCGAGUUCGUGAGAUGUAACUAGGCAUCCGAACUCGUUGAGUUGAGUCCGAGUUCACUUAUGGAUGCGAACGCCCGAGCUCGUUGAGUUGAGUCCGAGUUCGCUUAUGGGCGGGUUACAUGAUUGCUUGAUUGAAUAUGUGGCACUUAUAUGCAAGUUAUCCAUGUAUCCGAAUUAUAUUCCGAUGUGUUCAACAGGUAAAGUUCUACUCAAUGGAGGAAUAUUCGAGAUGUAAAGAGAAGUAGUGAGUGAUGUGAAAUGGAUAUUUUGGACAGGUAUGUAUUUAACCCUCGGGUUGAGUAUUGAUACAACCACUAUAAGGUAAUAAGAUGAUGAAAAAUGAUUAAAAAUGUGAUAUGUGUUUUAGUGAUGUAUGCUAAUGUUGAUUGGUAUAACUGUUUGUUAUGUUACUUAUUAUUUGCAUAUGAACUUACUAAGCAUUUAUGCUUACUCCCUCCUUCUUACUCAUUGUAGUUUUGGACAAGCCAGCUCAGGAGUCGGGAUAGGUCGAAGGCUCAGUCACACUAUCCGGAAGACUUUUGGUAAAUGGCUUGUAAAUUUAAGUAUGGCAUGUAUAGCAAUAUACCUAUUUUGUGUAAAUGAUCUUAUGGUAUGGUUGUGGAAUGGUUGAGGA